GAUGCGUGACCACACUCAUACGACGUCGCAGCGAACGUUUUCUUCUUCUGUUACCGAACUUGAUGUUUUUUAACGCGCUUUUCAUGUCAGUGACUCAAGCUUUGUAAAACCCUAUUCUGCUUCGAUUUCGUUACGAUACCCGCAAAUUGUAUUUUCAUUUCUGCCUGGACAGAAAAAGAUGUUAUUGGUCCAAAUGGCCACUGCUUCUGGAAUGUCUUCUUCUCAUGUGAGUUGAUAUCCUUUCCAUUUAGUGGAUACUUUCAUUUGGAGAGACAUGGACAAAUGAAAUAAAAUAACAAUUUAGUUUAGUGUCUAUCUCUCUCCUAAUGGAAGUGUCCAUUAAAUUGAGAAGAUCUCAACCCUGCUCGUGGUAUUAUUGGCGAUAUGUUCUGUUCUCAAAUUUACAAUCAGAUAGCUUGCCUAGCAUUAAACCUCUAGCUAUUGCUCAUGUUGAUUUCCCAGGUUAGUUCUUAACCAAUGAUGGCUUAUUCUCCUUUAAAUCAUACUAUAAAUUCCUUGUCUGUAAAAGUUGGUUUUGGUGAUGCUUAUUCGAUUUGGAACUGGAAGGGGCCUGAAAGGAUUAGGCAACAAUUAACUUCUUACAAUGAAGAAUGAAUUAGAACUUAGAAGGGGCAUGACAACUAAUGCUAACUGUGGGAGAUGUAGUGACCAGGUUAACUCUAUGAUUCCUUUGUUGAUAGAUUGUAAUGUGGUAAGGAAUUUUGGACAAGAUUGUCUAUUAUGAUUAUUGGAGUAAAAUUUUUAGCCUGGCUUAAUAUAUGAGUUUAUCUCAUAUCUCACUUAAAUGGCCUUUUACAAUACUACCAGAAUGGAUAGAUGAUCCAAAUUAUUGUUCACUCGUCACUCGUAUUUGGGCUUCACUUCAAAUUCUUUUUCAAUGCUGUACUCGUGGGUGUGUUCGUUACUUCUUUUUCAAUGCUGUACUCUUUUUCAAAUUGUAUUUGAUAUGUGAUUAGUUAAUAGGUAGUUAGUAGUUUGUUAUUAGUUACUCACUUGCUCUCUAUGUAGGUAUGUAACCACUUUGAUUUGAUGUAAACAUACCUUUCAGUUUUCACAUAUCUCAUACAAUUUCAUUUUAUAGUUUGUGUAUAUUUGAUCUCUUCCAUGACCUCAUACUUGUAUUUGCUGAUCCCUUCACUUCCACUUUUUAUUUGGGGUUUGACCAAUUUUUAAUUAGCUAUGUAAAUUGAGAAUUCUUAAGUUGGUGUGAACAAUGAUUCAAUUUCAAAUAUGUUACAAAUUUUUAUUUUUGUUAGAUUAUAUGAGGUUGGUGAAACAGAGUCACUUCCUCGUGAUCAUUAUUAUUAACUAUGAAGAGGUAGCUCUUUUGAUUCAACAGUUAGUCUACUGUCUCAUUUGACUGACCGUUGAAGUUAUUUGCCUAGCACUAAAGAUAUUUUUAAUCAUAUGAUUAAUUCUAACUAAUGUUGAUGACUAAUUUACUAAUUUAGUUGAUGACUAAUGUUUGUCACUGUCCAAAAAAAAAACAGCUAAUAUUUACCGGGUAAUUAAUCUGGCCAACCGCUUUUGAUCGGUUUUCCAUUACCAAACAUAUUUUGUAUUCAUAAAGUUUGAACUCAACACAUUGUCCGAGGAUCCGGAUGUUUGUUUGGUGCUGAAGUUGGAAUAGAUAGAUUCUAUUAAUUUACCAAAAUUCAAUAUAUUAUGUAUGCUUUAAUAAUGGUAAUGAUAUAUCCAUAUAGGACAGAGCCAUUUGAAAGGGUAAUUAGUAUAGUAUAUUAUUUUAUUUGAUUCGUAGGUUUGAAAGGUAGCUGACCAUGCAGGAUUUGACUAUCAGUUUUCGAUUUCAUUCUCAUCUCACUCAACUAGAAAAUUUGUUGAAUGUUGCAUCCCCUUAUAUAUGAAGACCCAAUUUUGUAGCAUUGUGCUCUCAUCAUAUCAUAGUGAUACACCACGGAGCAAAACAAAUACGUUUCCCAUCUCAAAUUUCAAUACCCUUUAGCCUCUUAAUUCAUUGUAACCUUAUUCUUCCUCCACUCCCUUUAACUAAUGGGACCUGGCGGACCAGGAGGGCCCGGAGGGCCCGGAGGACCAGGAGGGUUUGGCGGACCUGGACCUGGUUUUGGUGGGCCUCCAGGCUUCGGUGGACCUGGUUGGGGUCCUGGACCUGGCGGACCUGGUUGGGGUCCACCAGGACCGGGGGGCUUUUUUGGCGGAUUUGGUAAUGGCUUAUGCAGCCUCAUAUCUUCAUGCUUCUACUGCUUAUGCUGUUGCUGGUUGGUACGAGAUUGCUUCGGAGGUCCACCACCACCAGGUCCAGGCCCUUUUUAAACCAGUAAAGCUGAAGGUUCACUACAUGCUGCCUAAUUACUUGCCAUGUCCAUUGUUCUAUUUGGCUCUUGUGUGAUGAGUAUGACCAAAAAUAAAAUAAAAUAAAUUUGUGGUUUUGUAAUCUCUCUUUCACUUUGUAACCAGAAAAAUUUCUCUUUCAUUUUAGCUUAA
Long non-coding RNA from Trifolium pratense (red clover), 2484 nucleotides. RefSeq lists it as uncharacterized. The transcript has 3 exons. NCBI's taxonomy places the organism in Eukaryota, Viridiplantae, Streptophyta, Magnoliopsida, Fabales, Fabaceae. The record is from RefSeq and is a predicted model, not a curated record.